Molecule: long non-coding RNA, 680 nt
Filed under: Brassica rapa (field mustard)
Lineage: Eukaryota; Viridiplantae; Streptophyta; Magnoliopsida; Brassicales; Brassicaceae
Description: long non-coding RNA (BRAP_LNC002358)
Source: RNAcentral
CAAAGGCUAACAGCCUAACAGAUUCUAAGUCAUGUUGGUUUGGAGUACUUUUUGUUUUGGUAUCAUGACUUUUUGUGAUGGGAAGUCGGAAAUAAUUCUUCUUUUUGGAAUAGUGCAGUUAGGUAGAAGAUCGAAUUCAUUUCAAAAUCUUGGUUUCUUAAGUGAUCUAGAUCAAUCUGUAGUCAAGAUUCAAAACUUUCAAAUGUGUGAUGAUAAUUUAGUUAAUGCAACUAGCUAGUGUAUGUGUGUGAAUGAGUGGUCCUAUUUGUUAGCUCGUGCUUUGAAAUCUACACCGACUCCGACCACACAGCAAAGACCAGAUUAAAUUAAGGGACGUGUAGCGUAUAAUGAGGUUCCAAACUUGAUAGACCACUUCAAGUGUGUAUGUAUAAAAAAAAAAAAAAAAAAGUGUAUGUAUGUGUAACUGUCCGUUUACAAUGACGAAAACAUGUCUUUGUUAAAUUUCUUUCCAUUUAUUCUGUGGACCAAAAUUUAGUUUCACCUAACCUGGAAAAAAAAUAUUUUUCAAUGUUUUCAUAAUUUUUCUUGUUUAAUAUGGAAACGUAGGGGUGUUCAAUCCGGAUAUCGGUUCGGUUUAGGUUCGGUUAUUUUUUCGGUUUUCGAUAUUUCGGUUAGUAAAAUAUAACUAUCAUUCUAAAUCCAUAUUUACUUCGGUUCGG